This 380-nucleotide unclassified non-coding RNA is filed under the name uncultured Pseudomonadota bacterium. RNAcentral's name for it is "uncultured proteobacterium contains 16S-23S intergenic spacer region". The record is from RNAcentral. Lineage: Bacteria; Pseudomonadati; Pseudomonadota.
UCGCGGCUUAUCACCGGCAGUCCCCUUAGAGUGCCCAACUGAAUGAUGGCAACUAAGGGCGAGGGUUGCGCUCGUUGCGGGACUUAACCCAACAUCUCACGACACGAGCUGACGACAGCCAUGCAGCACCUGUCACCGGUCCAGCCGAACUGAAAGACUCCCUUUCAGGAAUCCGCGACCGGGAUGUCAAGGCCUGGUAAGGUUCUUCGCGUUGCAUCGAAUUGAGCCACAUACUCCACCGCUUGUGCAGGCCCCCGUCAAUUCCUUUGAGUUUUAACCUUGCGGCCGUACUCCCCAGGCGGAGAACUUAACGCGUUAGCUUCGCUACUAACCCCUCGCGGGGCCAACAGCCAGUUCUCAUCGUUUACAGCAUGGACUAC